RNAcentral lists this ribosomal RNA (1323 nucleotides) under Limenitis jina (Bhutan sargeant). RNAcentral describes it as "16S ribosomal RNA". Lineage: Eukaryota; Metazoa; Arthropoda; Insecta; Lepidoptera; Nymphalidae. The record is from RNAcentral.
GGGGGGAAAUUAAUAAAAUAUAAAUAAUAAAAAAAUUUUUAAUAUUGGGGGGUAUUAAAGUAUUUUUUUAAAAAAAAAUAAAUUAUUUUAUAGUAAAUUAGUAUUGUGAAAGAAAUUUGAAAUAAUUGAAAAUGAAUUAAUUAAAAAGUAAUUUUUAUUUAAUGUAUCUUGUGUAUCAGAGUUUAUUAAAAAAUAUUUUUUUUUUAGAAAAAUCUCGAAUUUAAAAGAGUUAAUUAAUUAUAAAAGUUAAUGUGGAAAAAUUAUUUUAAAUAAUUAAUUUGUAAUGAAAUGUUAAUCGUUUUUAAAUAUAUCUAGUUAUUUUAGAAAAAAAUUUAAUUUAAAAUUUAAAAAAUUUUAUUUUUAAUUAUAAUUAAAAAUAAAAUUUUUAAAAUUAAAUAUAUUAAGGGAUAAGCUUUAGUAUAAAAUUUUAUAAUAAAAUAAAAUUUAAUUAAAAGUUUUAAAAUUUAUAUUGUUUAAAAAUUAUAAUUUAUUAUAAAAAAUUUUAUUUUUAAUAAAAUUUAAUAAAAAUUUAAUUUUAUAUAAAAUAAUAAUAAAAAUAAUAAAAAAUUAAAAAUAAUGAUAAAAUUAGUAUAUUUAAUUUAAAAUAUAAUUUAAUUAAUAAUAAUUAAGUUAAAGGAAUUCGGCAAAAUUUUAUAUUCACUUGUUUAUCAAAAACAUGUCUUUUAGAAUAAUAAUUUAAAGUCUAAUCUGCCCACUGAUAAUAUAUUAAAGGGCUGCAGUAUAUUGACUGUACAAAGGUAGCAUAAUCAAUAGUCUUUUAAUUGAAGACUUGUAUGAAAGAUUUGAUGAAAUAUAAACUGUCUCUAAUUUAAUAAUAAAAUUUAAUUUUUUAGUUAAAAAGCUAAAAUAAUUUUAAAAGACGAGAAGACCCUAUAGAGUUUUAUAUUAAUUUUAUUUAAGAUUAUUUAUAAAAUUAAAAAUUAAAAAUAAAAUUAAUAUUUUGUUGGGGUGAUAAAAAAAUUAGUAUAACUUUUUUUAAAAAUUUAAACAUAAAUAAAUGAUUAAUUGAUCCAUUAAUUAUGAUUAAAAGAAAAAAUUACCUUAGGGAUAACAGCGUAAUAUUUUUUUUUAGUUCAAAUAAAAAAAAAAGUUUGCGACCUCGAUGUUGGAUUAAGAUAAAAUUUAAAUGCAAAAGUUUAAAAUUUUGAUCUGUUCGAUCAUUAAAAUCUUACAUGAUCUGAGUUCAAACCGGUGUAAGCCAGGUUGGUUUCUAUCUUUAGAUAAAGAAAAUAUUUUAGUACGAAAGGAUCAAAUAUUUUUAAUAAUUAAAAUUUAGUGAAUAAUAAUAAUAGUAAUUAAUAU